This is a long non-coding RNA of Cavia porcellus (domestic guinea pig), 299 nucleotides long. RefSeq lists it as uncharacterized. NCBI's taxonomy places the organism in Eukaryota, Metazoa, Chordata, Mammalia, Rodentia, Caviidae. The record is from RefSeq and is a predicted model, not a curated record. The transcript is spliced from 3 exons.
AGAAGGCGCUGUUGAGUAAAAGGAAUGAACAGCAAACAGUAAAGGAGGAGAUGCCACUCAGAGAAGAGAAAUCCAGUGUUUGUCUCCUAAAGAUUCAAGUGCUGAAGUUUGUCAGGGAAUCGCAAAAGACAUCAUUGCUGAAAUGGACUGCAAACGGAGAUGAUUUGGUCUGAGUGCCUGCCAGAGCAUCGGAGAUGGGUGGAACGGUGGAUCCCAAAGAGAUAAGUCCUUUUCCCCAGUACCACAACCUCUUCCUAGGCUGUGGUUCUGUUACAACAGCCCUCGAAAAUUAAUACAGG